RNAcentral lists this transfer RNA (71 nucleotides) under Bos taurus (domestic cattle). It matches the Rfam family "tRNA". Rfam says of the family: Transfer RNA (tRNA) molecules are approximately 80 nucleotides in length. Lineage: Eukaryota; Metazoa; Chordata; Mammalia; Artiodactyla; Bovidae. The record is from Rfam by way of RNAcentral. RNAcentral also lists the same sequence under 5 other names.
UCCCUUGUGGCUGACUGGUAAAGAAUCUGCCUGCAAUGCAGGAGACCUGGGUUUGAUCCCUGGAUUGGGAA